AUUGAACGCUGGCGGCAAGCCUAACACAUGCAAGUCGAACGAGUGGCGGACGGGUGAGGAAUGGCUGGGAAACUGCCUGCUGGAGGGGGAUAACUACUGGAAACGGUAGCUAAUACCGCAUACCAUCGGAUGUGCCCAGAUGGGACUAGCUAGUAGGUGGGGUAAAGGCUCACCUAGGCGACGAUCCCUAGCUGGUCUGAGCGGAUGACCAGUAACUGGGGGACUAGGACGCGGUGCAGAAUCGUACGGGAGUCACCAGUCAGGAAUAUUGCACAAGGGGCACAAGCCUGUAGCAGUCAUUCCGGGUGUAUGAAGAGGGCCUUCGGGUUGUAAAGUACUUUCAGCGGGGUGGCGUUACCCACAGAAGAAGCACCGGCUAACUCCGUGCCAGCAGCCGCGGUAAUUC
This 406-nucleotide ribosomal RNA is filed under the name uncultured bacterium. RNAcentral describes it as "partial 16S ribosomal RNA". It matches the Rfam family "Bacterial small subunit ribosomal RNA", at positions 30 to 526 of the family's 1533-position model. The record is from RNAcentral.